ACGGGUGAGUAAUAUAUCGGAACGUGCCCAGUCGUGGGGGAUAACUGCUCGAAAGAGCAGCUAAUACCGCAUACGACCUGAGGGUGAAAGCGGGGGAUCGCAAGACCUCGCGCGAUUGGAGCGGCCGAUAUCAGAUUAGGUAGUUGGUGGGGUAAAAGCCUACCAAGCCAACGAUCUGUAGCUGGUCUGAGAGGACGACCAGCCACACUGGGACUGAGACACGGCCCAGACUCCUACGGGAGGCAGCAGUGGGGAAUUUUGGACAAUGGGCGCAAGCCUGAUCCAGCCAUGCCGCGUGCGGGAAGAAGGCCUUCGGGUUGUAAACCGCUUUUGUCAGGGAAGAAAAGGGUGUUUCUAAUACAGACGCCUCAUGACGGUACCUGAAGAAUAAGCACCGGCUAACUACGUGCCAGCAGCCGCGGUAAUACGUAGGGUGCAAGCGUUAAUCGGAAUUACUGGGCGUAAAGCGUGCGCAGGCGGUUAUGCAAGACAGAGGUGAAAUCCCCGGGCUCAACCUGGGAACUGCCUUUGUGACUGCAUAGCUAGAGUACGGUAGAGGGGGAUGGAAUUCCGCGUGUAGCAGUGAAAUG
RNAcentral lists this ribosomal RNA (590 nucleotides) under Pelomonas sp. TDB-001. RNAcentral describes it as "bacterial SSU rRNA". It matches the Rfam family "Bacterial small subunit ribosomal RNA", at positions 102 to 688 of the family's 1533-position model. The record is from RNAcentral. Lineage: Bacteria; Pseudomonadati; Pseudomonadota; Betaproteobacteria; Burkholderiales; Sphaerotilaceae.